UACGGGAGGCAGCAGUGGGGAAUAUUGCACAAUGGGCGAAAGCCUGAUGCAGCUAUGCCGCGUGUAUGAAGAAGGCCUUAGGGUUGUAAAGUACUUUCAUCGGGGAGGAAAAAACAAAACUAAUAAUUUUAUUUCUUGACGUUACCCGAAAAAGAAGCACCGGCUAACUCCGUGCCAGCAGCCGCGGUAAUACGGAGGGUGCUAGCGUUAAUCAGAAUUACUGGGCGUAAAGAGCACGUAGGUGGUUUUUUUAAGUCAGAUGUGAAAUCCCUGGGCUUAACCUAGGAACUGCAUUUUGAAACUGAAAUACUAGAGUAUCGUAGAGGGAGGUAGAAUUCUAGGUGUAGCGGUGAAAUGCGUAGAUAUCUGGAGGAAUACCUGCGGCGAAAGCGGCCUCCUAAACGAAUACUGACACUGAGGUGCGAAAGCGUGGGGAGCAAACAGGGAUUAGAUACCCGU
RNAcentral lists this ribosomal RNA (459 nucleotides) under uncultured bacterium. Its description in RNAcentral is "bacterial SSU rRNA". It matches the Rfam family "Bacterial small subunit ribosomal RNA", at positions 340 to 789 of the family's 1533-position model. The record is from RNAcentral.